This 521-nucleotide ribosomal RNA is filed under the name uncultured bacterium. Its description in RNAcentral is "partial 16S ribosomal RNA". It matches the Rfam family "Bacterial small subunit ribosomal RNA", at positions 355 to 868 of the family's 1533-position model. The record is from RNAcentral.
UGGGGAAUUUUGGACAAUGGGCGAAAGCCUGAUCCAGCAAUGCCGCGUGUGUGAAGAAGGCCUUCGGGUUGUAAAGCACUUUUGUCCGGAAAGAAAUCCUUGGCUCUAAUACAGUCGGGGGAUGACGGUACCGGAAGAAUAAGCACCGGCUAACUACGUGCCAGCAGCCGCGGUAAUACGUAGGGUGCAAGCGUUAAUCGGAAUUACUGGGCGUAAAGCGUGCGCAGGCGGUUUGCUAAGACCGAUGUGAAAUCCCCGGGCUCAACCUGGGAACUGCAUUGGUGACUGGCAGGCUAGAGUAUGGCAGAGGGGGGUAGAAUUCCACGUGUAGCAGUGAAAUGCGUAGGGAUGUGGAGGAAUACCGAUGGCGAAGGCAGCCCCCGUGGGCCAAUACUGACGCUCAUGCACGAAAGCGUGGGGAGCAAACAGGAUUAGAUACCCUGGUAGUCCACGCCCUAAACGAUGUCAACUAGUUGUUGGGGAUUCAUUUCCUUAGUAACGUAGCUAACGCGUGAAGUUGA